Molecule: ribosomal RNA, 189 nt
Filed under: uncultured Staphylococcus sp.
Lineage: Bacteria; Bacillati; Bacillota; Bacilli; Caryophanales; Staphylococcaceae
Description: partial 16S ribosomal RNA
Rfam family: Bacterial small subunit ribosomal RNA
Source: RNAcentral
CGGGAAACCGGAGCUAAUACCGGAUAAUAUUUAAACCGCAUGGUUCAAAAGUGAAAGACGGUCUUGCUGUCAAUUAUAGAUGGAUCCGCGCUGCAUUAGCUAGUUGGUAAGGUAACGGCUUACCAAGGCAACGAUGCAUAGCCGACCUGAGAGGGUGAUCGGCCACACUGGAACUGAGACACGGUCCAG